UACGAAGGGGGCUAGCGUUGCUCGGAAUCACUGGGCGUAAAGGGUGCGUAGGCGGGUUUUUAAGUCAGGGGUGAAAUCCUGGAGCUCAACUCCAGAACUGCCUUUGAUACUGGCGAGCUUGAGUUCGGGAGAGGUGAGUGGAACUGCGAGUGUAGAGGUGAAAUUCGUAGAUAUUCGCAAGAACACCAGUGGCGAAGGCGGCUCACUGGCCCGAUACUGACGCUGAGGUGCGAAAGCGUGGGGAGCAAACAGG
RNAcentral lists this ribosomal RNA (253 nucleotides) under uncultured bacterium. RNAcentral describes it as "partial 16S ribosomal RNA". It matches the Rfam family "Bacterial small subunit ribosomal RNA", at positions 524 to 776 of the family's 1533-position model. The record is from RNAcentral.